GACGAACGCUGGCGGCGUGCUUAACACAUGCAAGUCGAGCGAUGAAGUUCCUUCGGGAAUGGACUAGCGGCGGACGGGUGAGUAACACGUGGGUAACCUGCCUCAUAGAGGGGAAUAGCCUUUCGAAAGGAAGAUUAAUACCGCAUAAGAUUGUAGCUUCGCAUGAAGCAGCAAUUAAAGGAGUAAUCCGCUAUGAGAUGGACCCGCGUCGCAUUAGCUAGUUGGUGAGGUAACGGCUCACCAAGGCGACGAUGCGUAGCCGACCUGAGAGGGUGAUCGGCCACAUUGGGACUGAGACACGGCCCAGACUCCUACGGGAGGCAGCAGUGGGGAAUAUUGCACAAUGGGGGAAACCCUGAUGCAGCAACGCCGCGUGAGUGAUGACGGUCUUCGGAUUGUAAAACUCUGUCUUCAGGGACGAUAAUGACGGUACCUGAGGAGGAAGCCACGGCUAACUACGUGCCAGCCGCCGCCGUAA
Molecule: ribosomal RNA, 478 nt
Filed under: uncultured bacterium
Lineage: Bacteria
Description: partial 16S ribosomal RNA
Rfam family: Bacterial small subunit ribosomal RNA
Source: RNAcentral